RNAcentral lists this long non-coding RNA (3676 nucleotides) under Sus scrofa (pig). RNAcentral describes it as "lncRNA (ENSSSCG00065012358.1)". The record is from RNAcentral. Lineage: Eukaryota; Metazoa; Chordata; Mammalia; Artiodactyla; Suidae.
AAGUGCUGCACGUUGUUGGGCCCCGGAGGGAAGAACCGGCGAGAGACUCGGGCCACGGGAGAUGCCAGCACAAGGUCUCGGAGGCUCUGCUUGGCAGUGUCGGCUGCUGGGGAAGCAGAGCUCUGGGGCCGCUAGACGUUGGCCUGCGCUUGGGUGUCGAAGGCAAAGGACACAGGGUGGGGCCUCGUGUGGGUGGUUCCUGGCUGGGAGCAGUUUGCAUGCGGGAAUGAUAGAGCUGGUGUUCGGGAAUGAUAGAGCUGGUGUUCGUGGAGCACUGACUGUGAAUGAAGCCCUGUCCUAAGCAUCCUAAAUUUGUUAUCUCAGAAGCAAGAGUCUAUUAUCCUAAGAAAACCAAAAUCCCAAGAGCACAAAGGAUGCAGGGAGCUCCCAUUGUGGCUCAGCGGGUUAAGAACCAACUUGCCUCUGUGAGGAUGCGGGUUCGAUCUCUGGCCUCACUCAGUGGGUUACGUAUCCUGAGUUGCUGUGAUCUUUCACAUAAGUCACAGAUGCGGGUUGGAUGCAGUGUUUCCUGUUCAGUCCCUAGCCUGGGAGCCUCCAUAUGCUGCAGGUGUGGCCGUUAAAAGGAAAAAAUAAAAAACUAAAGAUGCAGUUGAUAGAAAAGGGGGCCUUGCGAUCUGGCUGAUACUUUGUGCUCUUUAAUCGCGGGCUCGGAUCCUUAGCAAUGGGCCCCGGGGUGGUACCACUGCCCUGCGGACCUACUUUGCUGAAUGAUGUGAACGAGAAUAUCCUUUACUCCCCCUGCCCUGCAUGAGGCAAAUUUCAAAUGCAAUCAUACGCUUUGGAGAAUGUGCCUGUGUGGGCAUCAGGAGAUGUGUCUGCCUUGGGGGGAGUUUUUCUUUUCAUCGAAGCCCAGGAAGUUUUUAUUUUAUUUUAUUUUAUUUUAUUUUAUUUAUUUAUUUAUUUAUUUAUUUAUGUCUUUUUGCCUUUUCUUGAGCCGCUUCUGCAGCAUAUGGAGGUUCUCAGGCUAGGGGUCUAAUCAGAGCUGUAGCCACUGGCCUCCGCCAGAGCCAUAGCAACUCGGGAUCCAAGUCGAGUCUGUGACCCACACCGCAGCUCAUGGCAAUGCCAGAUCCUUAACCCACUGAGCCAGGCCAGGGAUCGAACCCGCAACCUCAUGGUUUUUAGUCAGAUUCGUUUACCACUGUGCCAUGACAGGAACUCCGAAGCCCAGGAAGUUGAUGGCGAUGAGAAGCCAGUGGUAUUUUCUGCUCUGAUGGCUGAUGAGAAAAGUUUCCUCCAAGGGAGCUCAGCUGAGCCGAGAGUUCCAUUCUCCAGGUCCUACCAGCUCCACCUACAGAUGCCACCCCUGGGUCCAGUGGACUGUGAGACUAGCUGGAUUGCCAUGGCAACAGGAACUGGACCCAAGCCACCAGGGGAUGGAGAGCAAAGACUCAGGGGUGGCUUUUUGAGGCCUUGGACCAUGCGACAUGCCCAUGGCCUCCAGCGAGGAGCCGGGGAUAAUCCAUCAUCGCGCCCCGUGCUUCCCCCGAGUCUGCUAAAGCAGCCUUGGGUCCUUGCCUUUCUGCCCUUGGUGUCUGUGCUUGGUGACAGGGAGCUGUGAUAGGGGCGGUUCUCUGCCCCACUGAGUAUCUCCAUUGGUCUCCAAUCUAGUGCUUAUAGGAAGUCACCCGAGUCCCAGAGGGGAAGUCACAUGCCAGGGACUGACUCCUCUGACCCGACUAAGACAAGCCUCCAGGGUCCCUGAGGCGAUGGGGACCUUUGCUGCAGACCCAGGCCAGCACCUGCUGUGACCCCCCAGCCUCCGCAUGUCCCUCCGCACCCCAUUCCCCUUCCAGCCGCUGUCCAGGGCACCUCCCCCACUCGUGCCCACCCCCGGACCCCAUCUCUUGACUCCGUCUUGCCUGUCUGCUGCUCCUAACGCUGGGGAGGACAGGAGCCUGUUUCCACUCCGACUGCUUUACGAGAGUCAGAAGCCCUCAGAGCGGUUUUCUGGGGUUUGGACUCGAUCUUGGCCUUGGCCUAAUUCCAUCCGAUAGGUCCGUCCACCAUUCUAAGCCAGUCCUCUUUCUCUUAUUGUCGGAGAACAGAGCAAGCAGCCAACUCGCACUCCUGUGGGCAUUGCAGGGAGGGCCGGCUUCCAAGAAGGUCCCUUUGUCACGCACGCUGGGGUGACCCCACCCAUGGCUGCCUGACCACAAUUCCCUCUGCUCCCCAGGCCGAGCGUGGGCUGAAGUGAGGACACAGAAUGCCUGGGAUGCCAGCUGCGGUGACAGAGUGCACUCAGGCCCUUCAGGAGCCCAGGAUCGCUUCUCACUGAAGUCUUUACAUUUUUCCCAGUUUUAGGCCAAAGAAUGCCUGCUUUCUCCCAACCACCAGUUGAUUCAGGGACUUGAACUUCUCUCUCUUUUUUUGUCUUUUUUUGCUAUUUCUUGGGCCGCUCCUGUGGCAUUUGGAGUGCAGCCCUAAAAAGACAGGGGAAAAAAAAAAGCAAAAGGGCCUUUCUCAGAUAGUUUACCUGUAGACCAUCCUGGAUAAUCAAUAAUGGAGUAGAAACAGCAGGCAGUCUGCUUCCAUUCAGGUCUUGGAUAAAAGUGAUGUCUGUAGCAAUUGAAUUUACUUCUACGGUCUUUAGAGCAGAUAGGAUAUAUUCUGUCAUCUUUACUUUUUUUUUUUUUUUUUUUUUUUUUUUUUGUCUUUUUGCCUUUUCUAGGGCCGCUCCUGUGGCAUAUGGAGGUUUCCAGGCUAGGGAUCUAAUCGGCGCUGCAGCCACCAGCCUACACCAGAGCCACAGCAACACAGGAUCCGAGCCACGUCUGCAAGCUACACCAUAGCUCACAGCAACGCCGGAUCCUUAACCCACUGAGCAAGGCCAGGGAUCGAACCCGCAACCUCGUGGUUCCUAGUCGGAUUCGUUAACCACUGCGCCACGACGGGAACUCCCAUCUUUACUUCUGAUUGUAGGAGAGAAAAUACGCUUGGAUAUACAUCUAGCUCUUUAUCUUUCUAGAACUCCUGGAGAGGUGCGUGAGGAAGCAAGGUCCAGAUCCCACUCUGGGGAACGGAGGGGCAGAUGGUAGUUCUUAGCUCGUGGGUUGGAGAGGGAGCAAGGAUUUUGUGAUUGGAGAGUUCCCACCUUGGCUCAGAGGUAACAAGCCUGACUAGUAUCCAUGAGGAUGCGGGAUCGAUCCCUGACCCCACUCAGUGGGUUAAGGAUCUGGCGUUGCCGUGAGCUGUGGUGUAGGUCGCAGAUGCGGCUUGGAUCCUGCGUUGCUUGUGGCUCUGGCAUAGGCUGGCGGCUACAGCUCUGAUUCAGCCCCUAGCCUGGGAACUUCGAUAUGCCGCAGGCGAGGCCCUAAAAAGACAAAAAAGGGGGGGGGAAUUUCAUGGUUGAACUUGAGUUUGGAGGCAGGUGGAGUUAGAUGCAACUUUUAUGUUUAGGAGGAAAGUAUUUGAUCUUCUGGACUGUGAAGCAAAGUGGGAGUUAUGUACUUUGGAUUAUGAUAUAUAUGCAUAGACAUUUAAUAAGCUUUAUGGAUCGUACUAAUCAAUUUCCUGGCUUCAGUAUUGUUCUAUAAUCACAUAAGGUGUUACCUCUGGGAGUUAAUGGCUAAAAGGUACAGGGGAUCUCUGUACAUUUGGGGGAGGGCAAUUUUCUAUAAAUCCGUGAUUAUUUGAAAAUAAAAUGUUACAACAU